RNAcentral lists this unclassified non-coding RNA (336 nucleotides) under soil metagenome. RNAcentral describes it as "partial contains 5.8S ribosomal RNA, internal transcribed spacer 2, and large subunit ribosomal RNA". The stretch from base 2 to 121 matches the Rfam family "5.8S ribosomal RNA", at positions 35 to 154 of the family's 154-position model. The record is from RNAcentral.
GGAUGAAGAACGUAGCGAAAUGCGAUAAGUAAUGUGAAUUGCAGAAUUCAGUGAAUCAUCGAAUCUUUGAACGCACAUUGCGCCCGCUAGUAUUCUGGCGGGCAUGCCUGUUCGAGCGUCAUUUCAACCAUCAAGCUCCUUAGCUUGUGUUGGGGACCUGCGGCUGCCGCAGCCCCCGAAAUGCAGUGGCGGGCUCGUUGUCACACCGAGUGCAGUAAUCAUUCUUCUCUCCGGGCGUGGCGGCGGGUUCCGGCCGUAAAAUCACCAAUUUAUCAAGGUUGACCUCGGAUCAGGUAGGAAUACCCGCUGAACUUAAGCAUAUCAAUAAGCGGAGGA